RNAcentral lists this unclassified non-coding RNA (650 nucleotides) under Hevea brasiliensis (rubber tree). The record is from RNAcentral. Lineage: Eukaryota; Viridiplantae; Streptophyta; Magnoliopsida; Malpighiales; Euphorbiaceae.
GUUUUCUACUAUCUGAAAUUUAAGUUUAUUGUAAGUAUCCUUUGGUAUGCAUGAGCAUGCCAGCCCAAACUCUACACGUCUUGAAAAUUCUUCUAAAGCACAAUCAACAGCAUUCUGGAAUGCUUCAGAAUUGCUCUGCUUCUCAACCUGGGAGAAAUGAGACCUGAAAGGCUUUAGCAGAGAUGCCUCAUUCCAUGCAAAUGUCCGAUCCCCAAAAUAUGCUACCAAAAAACAAUCCUUUUUAUGAUACUUCGCUGCUUUCUCAGAGGCAUCUGAAGGAUCAAAUAUCUGCCCAGGCCACCAUGGAUGGCUCCUCACUUUGCCCCAGACCAAAUCAGAUACAGUGAACUCACCUUCGACAUCUGGUGGUACCUUAUAACUAGCUUGAUGUUCUAUUACACUGCUUCUGGAAUUUAGAGCUACUUCUUUAGCAGAUUUCUCUUCAGUGGUAUUUAGCAGUUCCGAGUCAGCAUCCUGUUCUUCAGCUUCCAUUUCUUGCCCUUCUUGCAACCCAACCUGAUCAAUAAAAGCAUCAUGCUCUUCAACCACUGUUUCUGUUGCUGCACUUGAUUCAAUCUCAGAAACAUCACUAUCUGCACUCUCAUCCAAUCUUCUUCAACCGUCAGAUUCUGAUUCCCUUCAGGUGGCCC